Homo sapiens (human) is the source of this 834-nucleotide long non-coding RNA. NCBI's taxonomy places the organism in Eukaryota, Metazoa, Chordata, Mammalia, Primates, Hominidae. The record is from Ensembl.
GGAGACCGGCGCGGGUGCUGGAGGUCAGCAGGGGCCGUGGGCGGUGGACGCUGGAAUGCCUUGGGUUCCGAGGGACCCAGCUGCCUGAAUGGACACGAGGCAUCCACAUUAAUCUGGAUAAAGGCUGCUUCUUCAGCCACAGCUAAGGUGCAUGUAAUAGGAAUGAGAGCCACCUGUGUUUCAGAAAGCGUCUGGGAUUUUAGAGCUGCUUGUAACUGCAGCCUAACACAGCCUCAGCCGACUGAUACAUCCAGUGUCGUCAAAACAGAGCAGUGAACCAAGCAGCCGGCUCAUUGUUUGAGAAACAGUUGUUUCAUGGGUGAAUUGACCUCAUCUUCGGCAGCCACCGGUUUGCUAAGCAUUUACUUUGAACAUUUCUAUGGCUGGAGUACAAUGGCACGAUCUCGGCUCACUGCAACCUCCGCCUCCCAGGUUCAAGCGAUUCUCCUGCCUCAGCCUCCCGAUAGCUGGGAUUACAGUUUUCCAUAGACCACAUGAGUUCUGAUAAUCCUGAAAACGAUUUGCUCUCUUCUCCAAUGCUGAAUGAAGACUACCUCAUCCCUUCCUUCUUGCUUCUAACAGCAGAUCAGAUCUCCAGGUUCGAAGUUCCUAGAUGUGCUUUCUGAUCCUGGUUAUUCUUUGUCAGCCUUCAAAGCCAAAGCCUUACUGACGUGCAGAUCCAAGGAAAAGUUUCUUUCCUCAUUGUGUGUUGCCUAUGUUUAUAACCACAUACACACAUAAACAUGUAAACUCUGCAUUUCAGAAAGCAAUGAUUUGUUAUCCAUAUCUUAUCUAUACAUUUCUGCUUUGACAUUUUAUUAAAAACAUAAAAAU